This 141-nucleotide small RNA is filed under the name Cronobacter sakazakii. RNAcentral describes it as "RtT sRNA". It matches the Rfam family "RtT RNA". Rfam says of the family: This family represents a bacterial cis-regulatory element known as RtT RNA. The record is from RNAcentral. Lineage: Bacteria; Pseudomonadati; Pseudomonadota; Gammaproteobacteria; Enterobacterales; Enterobacteriaceae.
GUUGCCCGCAGGGCGAGUCUCAGGAUGAGACGAGUAAACCUGCAGCAGGUUUGAGUCGAGCCAUUUAUGGCGAGACAACGGAGCCGCUUGCGGCGACGGCCCGAAGGGCGAGCGAAGCGAGUCAUCCUGCACGACCCACCA